This 254-nucleotide unclassified non-coding RNA is filed under the name uncultured Parcubacteria group bacterium. Its description in RNAcentral is "contains 16S-23S intergenic spacer region". It matches the Rfam family "Bacterial small subunit ribosomal RNA", at positions 524 to 776 of the family's 1533-position model. The record is from RNAcentral.
UACAGAGGCCCCAAGCAUUAUCCGGAAUCACUGGGCGUAAAGGGUGUGUAGGCGGCUUUGUUAGUCUUUCGUAAAAGCCCGCGGGCUCAACCCGUGGAAUGCGGAGGAAACGGCAUAGCUCGAGGGUGCGAGAGGUAGAGGGAACUCAUGGUGUAGGGGUGAAAUCCGUUGAUAUCAUGGGGAACACCAAAUGCGAAGGCACUCUACUGGCGCACUUCUGACGCUGAGACACGAAAGCGUGGGUAGCGAACGGG